Molecule: long non-coding RNA, 1392 nt
Filed under: Oncorhynchus kisutch (coho salmon)
Lineage: Eukaryota; Metazoa; Chordata; Actinopteri; Salmoniformes; Salmonidae
Description: lncRNA (ENSOKIG00005013067.1)
Source: RNAcentral
AUGAAAGUGUCUGCACAGUGGCAUAUAGUGUUAUUAUUAUUCAGUGUGGUUGAUGUGAAAGUGUCUGCACAGUGGCAUAUAGUGUUAUUAUUAUUCAGUGUGGUUGAUGUGAAAGCCAUGCUCUGGCACUGUGAGAGUGAGUACUGGGUCGGUAGCUGGGGUCAGGCUGGGUGUCUGGGCCAGGCUAUGUUAAACCAACAGAGCCGGGCGGCAGGACCGAUGCCAGCCCUGCCACCACUGGCCAGGGAGUUUGAAGGGCGGCUUCCUGACAUCUCUUGGGAUGCAGCGACUAAACAUGAGACUGGGAUAACAAAGAAACAAAACUAUAGACAGCAGGCUCUGAUGGAGAAUAGAGGACUCCAACCCACGUUGUCUUGUCUCUCCAUCAGUUGGGAGUUUGCACAGUCUGUCAUCCAAGAGGCAAGAACACCAAAUAGUGUCAUGACUAAUCAAAUCAAGUCAAAUGUAUUUAUAUAGCCCUUCGUACAUCAGCUGAUAUCUCAAAGUGCUGUACAGACACCCAGCCUAAAACCCCAAACAGCAAGCAAUGCAGGUGUAGAAACACGGUGGCUAGGAAAAACUCCCUAGAAAGGCCAAAACCUAGGAAGAAACCUAGAGAGGAACCAGGCUAUGAGGGGUGGCCAGUCUUCUUCUGGCUGUGCCGGGUGGAGAUUAUUACAGAACAUGGCCAAGAUGUUCAAAUGUUCAUAAAUGACCAGCAUGGUCAAAUAAUAAUAAUAAUCACAGUAGUUGUCGAGGUUGCAACAGGUCAGCACCUCAGGACUAAAUGUCAGUUGCCUUUUCAUAACCAAUCAUUAAAAGUAUCUCUACCACUCCUGCUGUCUCUAGAGAGUUGAAAACAGCAGGUCUGGGACAGGUAGCACGUCCGGUGAACAGGUCAGGAUUCCAUAGCCGCAGGCAGAACAGUUGAAACUGGAGCAGCAGCACGGCCAGGUGGACUGGGGACAGCAAGCAGUCAUCAUACCAGGUAGUCCUGAGGCAUGGUCCUAGAGCUCAAGAAAGAGAGAAAGAGAGAGCAUACUUAAAUUCACACAGGACACCGGAUAAGACAGGAAAAGUACUCUAGAUAUAACAAACUGAUCCUAGCCCCCCGACACAAACUACUGCAGCAUAAAUACUGGAGGCUGAGACAGGAGGGGUCAGGAGACACUGUGGCCCCAUCCGAUGAUACCCCCGGACAGGGCCAAACAGGAAGGAUAUAACCCCACCCACUAGACAUGACAUGUUGUUCAACAGAUAUUCAGAGCGUUGCUGCAGAUAUAAAUAUGGCAACAUUCUAAAGGUUCCAUGUUCUAUCUGCAACAUUCUAAAGGUCUGUGCACCAUCAGACACAUUCUAAAGGUUCCAUGUUCUAUUAGACACAUUCUAAAG